UAUGCCUCCCUCUUCCCCCUGCAGCCAGUGCCUUUUAUUCAUCGGCGGCAUGCGUACACAGGUGAUUCCACUUCUCCAUCAGUCUCCCUCAGAGAUGGGCGGAGCACCAACCUGUCCAGGAACUCAGAGAGGGAGGGGAGACACACACAGACAACACAACCCAUAACAGCGUUGAACAUGAGAGUCCAUCAGACUUUGAUCUGCUUCAUCUUCCUCAAACUGACGGAUGGAUUCCCUUUUUAUGAAGAUAUCGGUGUCCGUGAAGGAACUGAAGGAGGAAACAUCUCAGUUGGAUGCAGCUUUACAUCUUCUGGAAGCAGGAAGGUUUUCUGUAGAAAGGACUGUGAAGAUGAAGACAUUCUUUGCAACACCACAGAUGUCAGUGCUCAGUGUGGCAGAUACAGCAUUGAAUUAAGAAAAAAUGAACUAUUGUCUACAGUUUUUUAUGUGAGCAUCACAAAUUUGAGAAAGUCUGACUCUGGAUCGUACACAUGUUGGUUGGAUA
Molecule: long non-coding RNA, 505 nt
Organism: Labrus mixtus (cuckoo wrasse)
Lineage: Eukaryota; Metazoa; Chordata; Actinopteri; Labriformes; Labridae
Exons: 2
Source: RefSeq, a predicted model, not a curated record